Molecule: ribosomal RNA, 316 nt
Filed under: uncultured fungus
Lineage: Eukaryota; Fungi
Description: SSU rRNA
Rfam family: Eukaryotic small subunit ribosomal RNA
Source: RNAcentral
UUUCCUGCUAAAUAGAGUGCAUUGUGUAAUUACAGUGAUAUAGCUUCUUCUUAGAGGGACUAUCUGUGACUAACAGAUGGAAGAAAGGCAAUAACAGGUCUGUGAUGCCCUUAGAUGUUCUGGGCCGCACGCGCGCUACACUGAUAAAGCCAGCGAGUGUCUCCUUGACCGGAAGGUCUGGGUAAUCUUGAGAAACUUUAUCGUGAUGGGGAUUGACCAUUGCAAUUAUUGGUCAUGAACGAGGAAUUCCUAGUAAGUGCGAGUCAUCAGCUCGCGCUGAUUACGUCCCUGUCCUUUGUACACACCGCCCGUCGAU